GACGAACGCUGGCGGCGUGCCUAAUACAUGCAAGUUGAGCGCUGAAGGUUGGUACUUGUACCGACUGGAUGAGCAGCGAACGGGUGAGUAACGCGUGGGGAAUCUGCCUUUGAGCGGGGGACAACAUUUGGAAACGAAUGCUAAUACCGCAUAAAAACUUUAAACACAAGUUUUAAGUUUGAAAGAUGCAAUUGCAUCACUCAAAGAUGAUCCCGCGUUGUAUUAGCUAGUUGGUGAGGUAAAGGCUCACCAAGGCGAUGAUACAUAGCCGACCUGAGAGGGUGAUCGGCCACAUUGGGACUGAGACACGGCCCAAACUCCUACGGGAGGCAGCAGUAGGGAAUCUUCGGCAAUGGACGAAAGUCUGACCGAGCAACGCCGCGUGAGUGAAGAAGGUUUUCGGAUCGUAAAACUCUGUUGGCAGAGAAGAACGUUGGUGAGAGUGGAAAGCUCAUCAAGUGACGGUAACUACCCAGAAAGGGACGGCUAACUACGUGC
Molecule: ribosomal RNA, 498 nt
Filed under: uncultured bacterium
Lineage: Bacteria
Description: partial 16S ribosomal RNA
Rfam family: Bacterial small subunit ribosomal RNA
Source: RNAcentral